UACGUAUGGUGCAAGCGUUGUUCGGAAUCAUUGGGCGUAAAGGGUAUGUAGGCGGAUACAUAAGUCAGAUGUGAAAACUAUGGGCUCAACCCAUAGCCUGCAUUUGAAACUGUGUAUCUGGAAUCUUGGAGAGGCAAGUGGAAUUCCUGGUGUAGCGGUGAAAUGCGUAGAUAUCAGGAGGAACACCGGUGGCGAAGGCGACUUGCUGGCCACAGAUUGACGCUGAGAUACGAAAGCGUGGGUAGUGAACGGG
RNAcentral lists this ribosomal RNA (253 nucleotides) under uncultured bacterium. RNAcentral describes it as "partial 16S ribosomal RNA". It matches the Rfam family "Bacterial small subunit ribosomal RNA", at positions 524 to 776 of the family's 1533-position model. The record is from RNAcentral.